AGUUGCCAAUUAUAUCUAGCAGACGACACUUGCUGCUUCUACCAGAUGACGCCAGUGGCGGAAGAAGGGACCCGAUGCCCGGAGUAACUUUGCAGUAUAAAAUUUUGCACUGUUCGAUUGGUCAAGAUGGAGAUGUUUUAGUGGAAUUCAGCCCUUGAUGGACAUAUCGUCUGUAUUUGCCCUGUCCUGUGUGGACAGAGAGCUCUUCCACACCUCGUGCACACAUCAGAAUCCGCGAGGUAGGCGACGAAUUUAUUCAGGUUUAAAAUGACAGGAAGACAGUGUUUUACAUUGUUGAAAGACAAAGAAAAAGAGUCGAUUCCAGAACGUGCCUACCUGUGUUUGUUGAUUUCGGCAGUUGAGGGGAGAGUCCGGUGCAUGCCAGAUACUAUCUAUUGAUUUCAAACAAUCUAGUGAGAAAUAUAUGCAGAAGAAAGAACCAAGUAUGAUAAAUCCACGACAGACCUGGCACAAGCAUAUAGCAUGACACCACUACAGCCGCCAUGACAAAAGCAUAGUUAAACAAAUUAGUUAGACAUAAGUUAACAUGUAUAUAAUUAUACCCCAACGUACAAAGUAUAUUGGGCUAUGUUGGAGUCACGCAUGUCCAGUCCAUCCGUCCGUCCGUUCAUUUGUCCACCAUGGCCGCUGGGAUGAUUUUCAUAAAACUGAAAUAAAUUAUAAACCACAUAAAGACGAUGUACAGAGCGCUCAACCUAGGUCACAAGGCCCAAGGUCAAGGUUACUCGUGGAGGUCAAAGGUCAAAUAGCUUAGCUUCAUGUCCGCUCUAUAUUGUUUAAACGGCUUUGAAAAUAUUUAGCUCGACUAUUUGAAGAAUAAGGAAGAUUACUGAACUUUCCUUGGCGUCUGUGUCACUGUUACCGUUGCAUUGAAAGUUAAAAUUUUAAGACAAGCUUCUCAGUGUCACUAUAUCUUCUUACUACUGCCCUUAUUAUCAUCAAACUUCACAUAAGUGUUGGUCUUGGUAAGAGAAAGACAUCUACAUGUAUUAGUUUAGGAACAAGUAUCCUAAAUGUCGAAGUCACUGGCUUAAAUAUUGUGAUAGUGCUGGUUAAAGUUUCAUGGUAAGCUUCUCAGUUUCACAAUAUAACCUCACAUAAGGAUUGAUCUUAGAACGUGGCAGAAAUCUUUUUGUUUAGGGUCAGGUUGCUCAAAGGUCAAGGUUACUGGGGUCAGAUUUUGUAACAGUGUUGGCUAAACUCUUGCGGCACAUUUCUCAAUUUGACUUGUAUCUCAUAACGUUUCUUAGAACUGGUAUUCAUCAUGUCCUAUCCUUUUUAGCUAAACCUACAUUUCAUCUACGUCCCUACCGACAGCCACCCAAAAAUGCAUUCCAUACAAAAACUUAUAUAUCAUGUUUCCAUCAACUCCCCUACUCCGCUGUCAUCACCUACCUCCUCCACCCCAUUUCACCGAACCUUUACCCUCGUCCCUAACCCCCGCCCCCUAUAUAAAAAGGAUAAAAAAAACUCCUUUUCGAUCUUCCACACUUUCUUAUGAUAAUAGCAAUAUCUUGUUUAACAUUUUCCUUGUAGUCGAGCAAACACAAUUAACUCAGGUCACUAGGUCCACGGUCAAGGUCACACCUAAAAAUCAAAAGUCGAUGACAACAUUUUACUUUCCCUUUAUCAAAGUGUGGUCUGGGGGUAUUAAUCGACUUCAGUAAUAGCCUUAUUUGAUCAGGUGUUAGUGGCAUAAAUGUGUAACAGUUGCUUUAUUAUGGGGGGAGGGAUAGGAAUGGCGUCCGUCUGCCCGUCCGUAACACUUUCGUGUCCAGGCCAUAUCUCCUAAACCCCUUGAAGGAUUUUCAUGAAACUUGGGUCAAAUGAUCACAUCAAGACGAUGUGCAGAACAUAAGUUUGCCAUGUCGGCUGAAGGUCAAGGUCACAACUCAAGGUUGAAGGUUUUAGCCUUCCAUUUCGUGUCUGCGCUGUUUCUCUUAAACCGCUUGAAGGAAUUUUAUAAAACUCGGGUAAAACGAUCACCUCAUCAAGAGGAUAUGCAGAACUUAUGAGUCAGCCAUGCCAGCUCAAGGUCAAGGUCACAACUUAGGGUUGAAGGUUUGUGCCUUCCAUUUUGUGUCCGCUUUGUAUAUCCUAAACCCCUUGAAAGAUUUUCAUGAAACUUGGGUCAAAUUAUCACUUCAUCAAGACGAUGUGUAGAACUCAUGAGUCAGCCAUAUUGGCCCAAGGUCAAGGCCACAACUUGGGAUCAAAAGUUUGAGCCUUCCAUUUUGUGUUCGCUCUGUAUCUCCUAAACCCCUUGAAGGAUUUUCGUGAAACCUGGGUCAAAUGAUCACCUCAUCAAGAUGAUGUGUAGAACCUAUGAGUUAGCCAUGCCAGCUCAAGGUCAAGUUCAUAAAGGUUUGAGUCUUCCAUUUUGUGUCAACUCUAUAUCUCCUUAACCCCUUGAAGGAUUUUCAUUAAACUUGGGCCAAGUGAUUACCACAUCAAGAACUCAUGAUUCAGCUAUGUCAACUCAAGGUCAAGGCCACAACUCGAGGUCAAAGGUUUGAGCUCUGUAUCUCCUAAACCCCUUGAAGGAUUUUCAUGAAACUUUGGUCAAAGAUGAUGUGCAGAAUUCAUAAAUCAGUCAUGUCAGUUCAAUGUUAAGGUCACAGCUCAAGGUCAAAGGUUCAAGUUACCCUUACACUAUCCACAACAGUGGCGGGGGUUUUAGCUGUCUUCAGACUGCAAUGUAAUAACUGAUUUUAGGACUGGAGAUAUUUGUUUGUUUCAGUGUAAGAUCGAUCAAAUCAUUCUAAAUCUCGCGAAAAUGUAAGCUCUAGUGUUCAAGCGUGAAAAAUAAUCAGUUUUACUAUAAAUCAAAGAAAUUUUAUAUUAUGCAAUUAAAUAUAUGUGUACUAUUAAAGAAGUUUUAUAUUAUGCAGUUAAAUGUAUGUGUACUAUAAAUCAAAGAAAUUUUAUAUUAUGCAAUUAAAUAUAUGUGUACUAUAAACCAAAGAAAUUUUAUAUUAUGAAAUUGAAUAUACGUGUACUAUAAAUCAAAGAAAUUUUAUAUUAUGCAGUUAAAUAUAAUUGACUCAACUGUACACAUUUUAAAAGUAUAACAUCUCGCGCAACGUUACGCUUAAAAUUAUGGCAAUAUAUAUGUUGGAAAAAGUUAUAUAGUUCUACUAGAUUGAUUUCUUUUACAUUUUAAUAAAAUUAUUUUUUAAUGUUUUUUUUUUCUAUAAAAACAACCAGAUUAUAUAUAAUUCAUAUUCUUUCGCGUUAAAUUGAUGUUGCGUGCAAGUGAAAACUGUAUUUGGAUUUCAUACUUCCGAAACAGUGGGUUUAUCAGGGUAUAAUCUAUCGUUUUAUUUCAACAAUAUCUGGAAACUUGGCAAGAAAUUCAAUAAAACUAUAAAAUGUAGCGAUAAAAUCAUAGCUCUUUUAUUCAUUCAAACACACUUUCUACUGCACUUUGUCUGGUUGAUAUUAAUGUAGCUUUUAAAAGUCAUUUUAGUCUCAUUUCUUGUUCACUGGAUUUUACACUGUUUGGUAUAACUCUUAAUCGACACCUAACUUUAUGCACUAACAUUAACUCUUGCGGCUAAAAUGACUUUUAAAGCAACUCUGUCUAUUAUCAGGAACAAUUUGUUAAACUGGUAAAUCUUUAGGAACGAUGGGUAAAGAAAGAUUAGCUGAUCAAAUAUUUAGUAGAAUUGUUGGCAAACUUUUAGGUUUUUAGUCCUCACUUUAAGUAAUUACUGGGAUAUAACGUUAGAUUAUAAUAAACUCAUUGUUUCAAAUGGAGAGAAAUCCAAAUAU
This is a long non-coding RNA of Mercenaria mercenaria, 3795 nucleotides long. RefSeq lists it as uncharacterized. The record is from RefSeq and is a predicted model, not a curated record. Lineage: Eukaryota; Metazoa; Mollusca; Bivalvia; Venerida; Veneridae. The transcript is spliced from 4 exons.